This 253-nucleotide ribosomal RNA is filed under the name uncultured bacterium. RNAcentral describes it as "partial 16S ribosomal RNA". It matches the Rfam family "Bacterial small subunit ribosomal RNA", at positions 524 to 776 of the family's 1533-position model. The record is from RNAcentral.
UACAGAGGUCCCAAGCGUUGUUCGGAUUCAUUGGGCGUAAAGGGUGCGUAGGUGGUAGACUAAGUCGGAUGUGAAAUCCCAGGGCUCAACCCUGGAACUGCAUUCGAUACUGGCCUGCUCGAGGACUGGAGAGGAGGUUGGAAUUUAUGGUGUAGCAGUGAAAUGCGUAGAUAUCAUAAGGAAGACCAGUGGCGAAGGCGGAUCUCUGGACAGUUCCUGACACUGAGGCACGAAGGCUAGGGGAGCAAACGGG